GUUUAUGGAUAAAAUUAAGAAUGUGAAUGGGGAAAUACGGUGAAAUUAACCCUACAGAAACCGGCACUUUAUACAUGUAUAUGUUUAUCUUCUUUACAAGUGAUCUUAUGAAUGUUUAUCGAGUACGAAAGUUCCCUUCUUUGACUUUGUCUUUCUUUACUUGGUAACCACGAGCAACCCAAGCUUUGUGUUCUUGCUUCAUUUAUUUACCUUUCAGUUCAUUCUGCAAAGUCUUUGACCAGGUGUUCUUUCUCACUCUCUUUGUAAAGGGAAUUCAGUUUGGGCAGUCAAUGACUGCAGUUGAGUUGUUGUAUUUGGUGAUUUUACAGGGGCUGAUAUAUAAGAGCUGCCUUUUUAGAGAUGAUACUUUCAGCCCUUUAAACUUCUGUUGGGAUCAAUCUUGGUCUUUGCUUUUUGUUUUUUGCUCUAUACUCGAUAUUGAGGAACCAGCCAGGUAAUAUCCCCCUAUAUUCGCCUCGGUUGUUCAGUGAAAGAAAAGCUCAGGAAGAGGAUGAGUUCAACUUGGAAUGAUUGCUACCAUCACCUGGUUGGUUGAAAAGGGCAUGGCAACCAUCUGAGGAUGAAUUAUUGUCAAUUACAGGCUUGGAUGCUGUCGUGUUUAUGCGCAUUUUUAUCUUCUGUGUUAGAGUGUUUGCCUUUGCCUGUGUCGUCGGAAUCUUUGUUCUUCUGCCAGUUAAUUUUUCGGGCGACCAAUUAACCAUUGAUUUCUCUAAUUUGCCGAACAAAACCCUGGAGUCAUUCAGUGUUUCAAAUGUGAAUGAUGGUUCAAACAGGUAAUUAUUAUGUAGUUAGUUAAGUUCAGUUUCUGAUCUUAAAACUCUUGAAUAACUAUUGUUAUGUCAAAGAAGAAAAAACCGUUAAAGCUGAGACUUGACCAAAUGCAGCAGAGGCAAAAAAUUCUUACCCCAAAGCUUGACCGUUUUUCAAACGAGACUUAUUUUUUUGUCUAAA
Gossypium arboreum is the source of this 972-nucleotide long non-coding RNA. RefSeq lists it as uncharacterized. The record is from RefSeq and is a predicted model, not a curated record. NCBI's taxonomy places the organism in Eukaryota, Viridiplantae, Streptophyta, Magnoliopsida, Malvales, Malvaceae. The transcript has 3 exons.